Molecule: ribosomal RNA, 251 nt
Filed under: uncultured bacterium
Lineage: Bacteria
Description: partial 16S ribosomal RNA
Rfam family: Bacterial small subunit ribosomal RNA
Source: RNAcentral
CGGGUGAGUAACGCGUGGACAACCUACCCCGCACUGGGGGACAACAGCUGGAAACGGCUGCUAAUACCGCAUAUGCGCACGGUUCCGCAUGGGGCCGCGCGGAAAGCGCAUGCGGUGCGGGAUGGGUCCGCGUCUGAUUAGCUUGUUGGCGGGGUGACGGCCCACCAAGGCGACGAUCAGUAGCCGGCCUGAGAGGGUGGACGGCCACAUUGGGACUGAGACACGGCCCAGACUCCUACGGAAGGCAGCAG